RNAcentral lists this long non-coding RNA (1290 nucleotides) under Oryctolagus cuniculus (rabbit). RNAcentral's name for it is "lncRNA (ENSOCUG00000039362.1)". Lineage: Eukaryota; Metazoa; Chordata; Mammalia; Lagomorpha; Leporidae. The record is from RNAcentral.
UGCCAUGGAGGAGGGCAGGACGGUGCCCGUCUCUCACCCGGGUCUGGCGCAUCAGGGCAUCUGCAGGACGAGGGCCUGUUCACCUUGACGUCGCCGUGGGCAGCCAGGCAGAGCCACGUGACCUCAGGACUGGGGGUGCUCAGAGGAGGCUGAGGGUGGCGAGGUGGCCCCCAGCCUCAUCGUAGGGGUGGCUGGGAGCAGCUCCUGCUGCUGUCGGAGCCUGCCGUCCAGAGGGGGAGGGGGGCGUCUGCCAGAGUGGGGUCCCCGGCCUCCCUGCCUGUCCCCCGGCUGAGGCCCCGGCCGGCUGGGUCUGGGGCAGCGUGGGCCCCCGGCAGCCAGUGCAGGCAGCCCGGGCGCUGGUAUAUACCAGGAAGGAGAGUUCCUGUCCUGAGAAGGUGUCUCUUGCUGGCACGGUGCCUGGGUGUGCGGCUCCCACGGCCCACCACCCGGAAAUCCUCCCGGGCUGCAGCCUGUCACUGCGGGCUGCAGAGAACCGGAGCCGCCCAGCCAGACGCCCUCGCCUCUGUCACCUCUCUGUCACCCUGAGGCCCAUCCCAAACUGCCUUCCGGGCAAGCAGUGGGAGGUUAGAGGAGCCGGCUGCGGGAGGACACCUCCUGAGGUCUGGAGGGAAGGGGCCGUCCACUGGGCAUGGGUCCCUUCCAGCGACAGGCAGUGUCCGACCAAGUCCUGGGGAGCACACGGCCUGGCAGGGCUGUCCCCGCCUCCCCUCACGCACCCUGCUGACCCCUUCUCUCCCCGGCACCGCAUCCUCUUGUCCAGGCCAUGGAGACGUGGCUCCCGUUCUGGCUGUGGACGCUCUGUGUCGCCUGGGCGCCAGGGUCCAGCACGGGCUCUGUCUGGGGCACACAGAGGGACGGGGUUCGGAGAUGGACAGCAGAUGCACUCUUGGGCCAGCGGUGCUGAAAGUUACGGCUCAGAUGGAAACUUGCAACGUGGGUGCGUUUUCCUGAUACAAAGCAGGAUCUCUAGAGGAAGCGGGAGAAACUCCCCUGCACCGUCCGAGCGCCCAGCUCAGCGGCACGGAGCCCAGCCACGGCGCUGUGCAGCCGUCACCAAUCCACCUCCGAGACGCUCACCUCUGCGUGCUGAGCCCGGCCCCUCCCCCCGCCCCGGCGCCCCUGCAUUCCGCGUCCAUCUCUCGGGUCUCUGCUUGUCUUUCAUGCCGGGCGUGAUGCCCGUGAUGUCAUCAAGGUCCACUCAACUGGGCCUGGCAGACAACCCCCUCCACCCUGUGUGAGGCAGAGAAAGGCACCCACGUGGACACUGCG